GCCCCAGUAGCCCAAUUGGCAGAGGCAUCGCACUCAAAAUGCGAGGGUUGUCGGUUCGAGUCCGACCUGGGGUA
Molecule: transfer RNA, 74 nt
Filed under: Corynebacterium guangdongense
Lineage: Bacteria; Bacillati; Actinomycetota; Actinomycetes; Mycobacteriales; Corynebacteriaceae
Description: tRNA-Leu
Rfam family: tRNA
About the family: Transfer RNA (tRNA) molecules are approximately 80 nucleotides in length. Their secondary structure includes four short double-helical elements and three loops (D, anti-codon, and T loops). Further hydrogen bonds mediate the characteristic L-shaped molecular structure. tRNAs have two regions of fundamental functional importance: the anti-codon, which is responsible for specific mRNA codon recognition, and the 3' end, to which the tRNAs corresponding amino acid is attached (by aminoacyl-tRNA synthetases). tRNAs cope with the degeneracy of the genetic code in two manners: having more than one tRNA (with a specific anti-codon) for a particular amino acid; and 'wobble' base-pairing, i.e. permitting non-standard base-pairing at the 3rd anti-codon position.
Source: RNAcentral